RNAcentral lists this ribosomal RNA (510 nucleotides) under uncultured bacterium. RNAcentral's name for it is "partial 16S ribosomal RNA". It matches the Rfam family "Bacterial small subunit ribosomal RNA", at positions 29 to 523 of the family's 1533-position model. The record is from RNAcentral.
AACGAACGUUAGCGGCGCGCCUAACACAUGCAAGUCGAACGCGACAGGGGCAACUCUGUUGAGUGGCGCACGGGUGAGUAACACGUAGGUAAUCUCCCCCCGAGUGGUGGAUAACCUUCCGAAAGGAGGGCUAAUACAGCAUAAGACCACGGCUUCGAAAGGAGCUGAGGUCAAAGCGGAGGAUCGCAAGACUUCGCGCUUGGGGAUGAGCCUGCGGCCCAUCAGGUAGUUGGCGGGGUAACAGCCCACCAAGCCUAAGACGGGUAGCUGGUCGGAGAGGAUGAGCAGCCACACGGGAACUGAGACACGGUCCAGCGUCCUACGGGAGGCAGCAGUGGGGAAUCUUGCGCAAUGGACGAAAGUCUGACGCAGCGACGCCGCGUGGGUGAUGAAGGCCUUCGGGUUGUAAAGCCCUGUGGGGAGGGACGAAUAAGUUUCAGCUAAUACCUGAAGCGAUGACGGUACCUCCUUAGCAAGCACCGGCUAACUCUGUGCCAGCAGCCGCCGUAA